Sander lucioperca (pikeperch) is the source of this 786-nucleotide long non-coding RNA. RefSeq lists it as uncharacterized. Lineage: Eukaryota; Metazoa; Chordata; Actinopteri; Perciformes; Percidae. The record is from RefSeq and is a predicted model, not a curated record. The transcript has 4 exons.
GCUGCAAAGUACAAAAGGCGCAAGCCGCUUUCACUACCGAAAUCGUCUCAAUAUGUAAAACUGGUGGAGGAGUUCAAGGAGCACACGGAAGGAAGCAAUCCCACGCAUAAAAUGAGGGAGAAUGCCAACCAGCGAGCUAGCCAUGUCCUUACCUUCCUGAGGUUUAUGUCCCAGCCCGCUGAUCCUCAUUUGAACCUUCUCUUCUUGAAGGACUACGGUCAGAUCAGGAAAUUUACAGCCCAUCUGUCUGAGCGUAACUUGAAACCGAUGACGAUAAGAAGCUACCUGACGGAUGCUGUUGUAUUUGUGAAGUACAUUAUGAGUACGGCGCCAGAAGGGGUGAAAAUAGACGUAAAAAGCCUAAAUGCGCUACUAGUGGAACUCCGGGCGAGGGUGAGGGACGUGUCCAGAGCUGUGGUAGGGCAACAGCUGGCUCAGCGCCGCAGAAAGUCCGGUAAGAUCACAUCGCCCCACCUCUAUUUGUUGACAAAUCAUAAAACACAGAACACAUGUAUGAUAAAUUGUUUCAAUUUUCAGUUGAACUGGUGAAAGCGACUCAUCGUGCAUGAUUCAUUCAUAACACACCAACAAGGAUUUCUGCUGCACUCGGUAAGAAUCACUGCUCACUGCAGUAGUUUGAAUAUAAUGUAUAUUUUACUUAAAACUAUAUUAUAUACUUGAGCUCUGGACAGGCCUGCUGACCUAACAUUAAAGGGACCAGCACCUAGAAACUGGGCUUAACACAUCUGAACAUUCAAGCAGGAUGAGCUACAUGAACAGCAAUAU